This 253-nucleotide ribosomal RNA is filed under the name uncultured bacterium. Its description in RNAcentral is "partial 16S ribosomal RNA". It matches the Rfam family "Bacterial small subunit ribosomal RNA", at positions 524 to 776 of the family's 1533-position model. The record is from RNAcentral.
UACGGAGGGGGCUAGCGUUGUUCGGAAUUACUGGGCGUAAAGCGCACGUAGGCGGACUUUUAAGUCGGGGGUGAAAUCCCAGGGCUCAACCCUGGAACUGCCUUCGAUACUGGAGGUCUGGAGGUCGAGAGAGGCGAGUGGAAUGCCGAGUGUAGAGGUGAAAUUCGUAGAUAGUCGGCGGAACACCAGUGGCGAAGGCGGCUCGCUGGCUCGAUACUGACGCUGAGGUGCGAAAGCGUGGGGAGCAAACAGG